AGGAUAGAUACAACAAGAAAUUAACAAUGGCUAAUAAUAAAAUAGAAGUUAUAACUCUAUAAAAUUACCAACAUUUACUUUUGUUCUUUGAUGUCAUUUUUAAGUAAUACAAAGAUUGCUGGAUGUGAUGGUGGGAAUGUGAAAUGUCCCUCACAGCCUCCUGAAUGUGAACAUUUUAUUUAGAACUUGAGAUACUGUGUGGGGAAGCUGUGGGACCUUUGGAGUGGACUGUGUGGCUUUUGAAUGUGGGCCACUGCGGUCAGGCCUUUGAGAGUUACAACCUUCCCCAGUUCCCGUCCCACCGCUGUGCUUCCUCACCCACCACAAAAUAUGAGCAUCUGCUGAGAACUCCAGCCCCAAUGCUUCAUCACCCCGGCACCCUAAAUAAUCCUCUCCUCUUUCAAGCGACUCUCUCAAGUUGUUUCUGUUGGGCAUUUUGUCAGAGUGUCAAGAGGAGUCACACUCUACCACAGGAACCUGAUAGCCAGGUUACUCAGUGACUGAUGGCCAUAUUGAAUAUUCAACAAGGGAUGCUGGACAAAUAGAUGAGUCACAGGCAGAUGGCAUGGGCAGACCAACAUGUCGUCACACUAUUCAAAUGAGGCUAUAGAAUGUAAAUGGAAUGCUGGUGGGAACUGUUGGAGACCACAUGGCUGGCUGACAGCAGCAUCCCAGGAGGGAUGGGAUAAGAAGGAAGGCAACUGGGUCACCGGAAGUACCGAAACCUACAUCUGUCUGCCCAAGCUCUGAUUUCCUUGUCUGAUGGGGGUUUCCCCAUCAAGAUGGAUCCCUCAUGCUCGCUCUCUUGCUUGCUUCACCCCAUUCAAGGGUAUACUCUCUCCUCCCUCAGCCCUUCAAUCACCACAAGCCAAUGCCAACAUGGACUAAAGUAACAUCGUUAUUAAGAAUUGGGGUAUUUGGUGCUAGAGAGUCACCGUCCACAACGGGAUGCAGGAAAGAGCUGGAAAUUCAAAAGGCGGUAUCCCGAAGGCCCAAUCCUGUGUUUGCAGAGACAGGACAGGUUCGGAUGGAGGCUCCAUGUCUUGCCUUCUUCCUCCCUCACUUCUUAACAUCAGCUUCGCUCUAUACAUGAGAUCUUUAUGUGUGAA
Long non-coding RNA from Mastomys coucha (southern multimammate mouse), 1109 nucleotides. RefSeq lists it as uncharacterized. The transcript has 2 exons. NCBI's taxonomy places the organism in Eukaryota, Metazoa, Chordata, Mammalia, Rodentia, Muridae. The record is from RefSeq and is a predicted model, not a curated record.